This 253-nucleotide ribosomal RNA is filed under the name uncultured bacterium. RNAcentral describes it as "partial 16S ribosomal RNA". It matches the Rfam family "Bacterial small subunit ribosomal RNA", at positions 524 to 776 of the family's 1533-position model. The record is from RNAcentral.
UACGGAGGGAGCUAGCGUUGUUCGGAAUUACUGGGCGUAAAGCGCACGUAGGCGGCUUUGUAAGUUAGAGGUGAAAGCCCGGGGCUCAACUCCGGAACUGCCUUUAAGACUGCAUCGCUUGAAUCCAGGAGAGGUGAGUGGAAUUCCGAGUGUAGAGGUGAAAUUCGUAGAUAUUCGGAGGAACACCAGUGGCGAAGGCGGCUCACUGGUCCAUUACUGACGCUGAGGUGCGAAAGCGUGGGGAGCAAACAGG